AUGGAGAGGCAGCGGGUGGUGGUGGUGGUGGAGGACGCCCCGGCGUCCCGCGCGGCGCUGCAGUGGGCGGUGCGCAACUUCAUCCGGGCCGGCGACUCCAUCGCGCUGCUGCACGUGUGCGCGCCGGCCCGCUCCAAGCGCCGCCGCCGGCGCCUCCGGCUGCGCGGGUUCCAGCUCGCGCUCGCCUUCCGGGACCUCUGCGACGGCGUCGCGGAGGCCAUGGUGGAGAUCGUGGUGCGGGAGGGGGAGCUCGCGGCGACGGUGGCCGCGGCGGUCGGCCAGCUCCGGGCCUCCACGCUCGUCGUCGGCCUCCACGACAAGAGCUUCCUCUACGGGUCGCCGAGCCCGUACGAGGGAGUGAGCGGGCUGGGGUGCCGGGUGCUCGCCGUCCGGCAGCACGCGACGGCGCGGCACGGGGCCGUGGAGGCGGAGCUCACCCAGGUGGAGACCAUACGGCUGCACGUGCCGCCGCCCAAGAUCCCGUUCCCGAUCUUCGCGCUGCCGCUGGGCGUCAUCUGGAGGCGAUCAUCGUCGUCGAAGAAGAGGAAGUGA
This 552-nucleotide ribosomal RNA is filed under the name Triticum aestivum (bread wheat). Its description in RNAcentral is "partial small subunit ribosomal RNA". The record is from RNAcentral. Lineage: Eukaryota; Viridiplantae; Streptophyta; Magnoliopsida; Poales; Poaceae.